This is a long non-coding RNA of Oncorhynchus tshawytscha (Chinook salmon), 406 nucleotides long. Lineage: Eukaryota; Metazoa; Chordata; Actinopteri; Salmoniformes; Salmonidae. The record is from Ensembl.
AGAUGAUCAAGGGGCUGAUGGGGAGAGUGCUGGGGGACCAUACAAUUAAUUCAUUCUAUUUCUAUGUGGGGGACAGCUACAAUGCAGACAAUUAGGUGACAAUAGGAUAACAACAGCCUAACAAUUGAGAUUAUGCUGAAUGGUCACAAAAACUAAAAGGAAGCGAAAACAGCGCAAUCAAAAUCAGAGGAUUCAGAACAGGAGAUAGAAGAUAUUAUCAGCCCUGUACAAACAGAGUACUCCUCAGAUGUCCCACAAUUCCACAGAGGAUGUUGUGGGUUAAGAGGGAGACACCAACCCCUCCAAGACCUGUUGAGCUCCCUAAAGUCACAACAGGUCUACAAGAUGGCUGGCUCACUGUCUGAGAGAAUCAGGGGUCUACAAGAUGGCCGACUCACUGAGCGAG